GAUUCAAGUGGGAGACCCUGCCUCAAUAUAUAAGGUAGAAAAGAACAAUAGAAGAUAGUCAAUGUCACCUCUGUCUUCUGUAUGUUAGUGCGUGUGCGCACGCACACAUGCAUGCACACACACAUGCACACACACGCACGUGCACACAUACACACAUAUCCAUUUGGGAAGAAAAAAAGCUUGGUUUCAUAUGCUGACUGCUCCUCUACCUGUUAGCUGUGUGACAUUGGUCAAGGUCCAUAGCCUCUCCAUGCCUUGUUUUCUUCAUCUGUAAAUGGAAAUGGUAGCAGUGUAUAUUUCAGGGUGUUGGUAUAAGCAGUGUACGAGUAAAUAUCCAUAACAAUUAUAAUAAAAACAACUUAGUGCCAAGACAAAAACAGAUGCUUGGCUAUAGACAAAAAGUAUACACUGGAAGAAAAACAGUGUCUGUUUAAAAAAAAAAAAAAACUGGCUAUUCACUAGAUUCUUGCUUCACCCUAUUUAUCAGUUCAAUAUAUAUCCAAUACCGCUGUGUUGCUUUGAAUGAGAGUGGUCCCAUGGGCUUAUAUAUCUGAAUACUUGGCCCCUAGUUGGUAGAACUAUUUGGGAAGGAUUAGGAGGUGUGGCCUUGUUGGAGGAGGUGUGUCACUGGUGGGCUUUGAGGCUUCAAAAGUUCAAGCUCAUGUUUGUAGAUUAGAUAAAGGCUCCCAACUACUACUCCAGCACCAAGCCUGCCUGCCUGCCUGCCUGCUGCCUGCCUGCCUGCUGCCACACCCCUGGACAUGGUAGCUAUAGACUGACCCUCUAAAACUGUCAGCCCAAUAAACUUGUUCUUUUAUGAGUUACCUUGAUCAUGGAGUUUUGUCACAGCAAUAGAAAAGUAACCAGGAUAUAAGUUGGUAUCAAGGAAUGGGCUAUUACUGCAUGGCGGGCCAUGAUGGGCUUUGGAAGACUUUGGGACUUCGGACUAUAGUCAUCUUCCCACUGUGAUGAUCGUGGCCUUAAACCCUCUAGAACUGCGAGCUCCAGUAAGUGUUUUCUUUUGUGAGUUGCCUUGUCAUGGUAACUUCUUAUCAUAUUAAUAGAAAAGUAACUAAGAGAGUCAUAAUUCAAGACUUUAAACUGGUAGGAAAAAGAGGAGAAACAACUGAAGAGUAGGCAUAGGCAUUGACUUUCUGAGUAAGACUCCAGUCACUUAAGAAAUAAAGAACUGGGCUGGAGAGAUGGCUCAGUGGUUCAAAGCACUGACUACUCUUCCAGAGGUCCUGAGUUCAAUUCCCAGCAACCACAUCUCACAGCCAUCUGUAAUGAGAUCUGAUGCCCUCUUCUGGUGUACUUAUAUAUAAUAUCUAUCCUUUAAAAAAGAAAAAAGGAAAAAAAGAAAUGAACGGACACCAAGCAGUGGCGGCAGAUGCAGGAGGAGGAUCUCUGCUGAAUUCCAGGCCAGGUUAGUCUGUAGAGCAAGUUUCAGGACAGCCAGGACUACACAAAGAAACCCUGUCUCAGAAGGGGAAAGGGGGGAGGACAGAUUUGCAUCCAAUUAGAAAGCUUUUGCAUAGCAAACGACAUUGUUAACCAGAGCAGAAGAGAGAGU
This 1573-nucleotide long non-coding RNA is filed under the name Mus musculus (house mouse). RNAcentral describes it as "long non-coding RNA chr4:98671273-98672846". The record is from RNAcentral. Lineage: Eukaryota; Metazoa; Chordata; Mammalia; Rodentia; Muridae.